This 279-nucleotide ribosomal RNA is filed under the name uncultured bacterium. Its description in RNAcentral is "partial 16S ribosomal RNA". It matches the Rfam family "Bacterial small subunit ribosomal RNA", at positions 524 to 793 of the family's 1533-position model. The record is from RNAcentral.
UACGGAGGUGCGAGCGUUAAUCGGAAUUACUGGGCGUAAAGACGCAUGCAGGUGGUUUGUUAAGUCAGAUGUGAAAGACCCGGGGCGUCAACCUACGGAAUUGCAUUUAGUAAACUAGGCAGACUAGAGUACUGUAGAGGGGGGUAGGAAUUUCAGGUGUAGCGGUGAAAAUGCGUAGAGAUCUGAAGGAAUACCGGUGGCGAAGGCGGCCCCCUCGGACAGAUACUGACACUCAGAUGCGAAAGCGUGGGGAGCAAACAGGAUUAGAUACCCUGGUAG